This 443-nucleotide ribosomal RNA is filed under the name uncultured bacterium. RNAcentral describes it as "partial 16S ribosomal RNA". It matches the Rfam family "Bacterial small subunit ribosomal RNA", at positions 338 to 795 of the family's 1533-position model. The record is from RNAcentral.
CCUACGGGUGGCAGCAGUGGGGAAUAUUGGGCAAUGGGCGCAAGCCUGACCCAGCAACGCCGCGUGAAGGAAGAAGGCUUUCGGGUUGUAAACUUCUUUUCUGAGGGACGAAGAAAGUGACGGUACCUCAGGAAUAAGCCACGGCUAACUACGUGCCAGCAGCCGCGGUAAUACGUAGGUGGCAAGCGUUAUCCGGAUUUAUUGGGUGUAAAGGGCGUGUAGGCGGGAAAGCAAGUCAGAUGUGAAAACUCAGGGCUCAACCCUGAGCCUGCAUUUGAAACUGUUUUUCUUGAGUGCUGGAAAGGCAAAUGGAAUUUCAUGUGGAGCGGUGAAAUGCGGAGAUAUACCGAGGAACACCAGGGGCGAAGGCCGAUUGCUGGACAGUAACUGACGCUGAGGCGCGAAAGCGUGGGGAGCAAACAGGAUUAGAUACCCCGGUAGUC